This 66-nucleotide transfer RNA is filed under the name Limnoperna fortunei. Its description in RNAcentral is "tRNA-Phe". Lineage: Eukaryota; Metazoa; Mollusca; Bivalvia; Mytilida; Modiolidae. The record is from RNAcentral.
GGUGAGUGUAGCUUAAUAAAAAGCGCUUUAUUGAAAAUGAAGAAGAUAGCUUAAUAGUUCGUCACC